This 1221-nucleotide long non-coding RNA is filed under the name Rhinopithecus bieti (black snub-nosed monkey). RNAcentral describes it as "lncRNA (ENSRBIG00000045682.1)". The record is from RNAcentral. Lineage: Eukaryota; Metazoa; Chordata; Mammalia; Primates; Cercopithecidae.
CUCGCCGCUCACACGCCCCCUGCGCGCCGGGCCCGUACACCGCCACCGGCACUCGGCGAGCCAGCCGGCCUUCGCCCGGCCGCUGGGCCGCCGCCUGGGCACCGCGCCGCGCCCGCCCUCCACCCGGCCGGCUCCUGUCCUCCCCGCCACAUCCUGACCCGCCUGCUGCCCCCUUUCUUACCGGCAGGCUUGGCGGGGCGGAGGGAGCCGACUCCAGUCGACGGCCUCCCCCGCGCCCAGGCCUGGGAUCUCCGCCGCCGAGGUCCUAGAGCUCCGGCGUCUCCGGAGCUAGCAGAGAGAGACAGCAUGUUCCAUUUAUGCUUUCUGGACUCCUGGGAUCCUAGAAGCCAGCUAAAGCACAUAGUUGUAGAAAGAGCUACUAGCUACAGAACAGAAGAGCCAAUCUUUCCUUGUGUAUUCUGCCAGAACAAAUUCUAGCUUUCCAUUGGCUGGCCCCAUUCCACCUCACUCCCGUGCCAGUAAUGUGGAACAAGUAACAGUUUCAUUUUUUAAGAAUGCUGUUGUAAAAUAAGGAGAGAAAAAUGGAGCUGAUUGAACCAUCAGAAUGCAAUGCAAGUCUGAUUCUGAGUGAAAAAGAGGAGUAAAAGAAGGAGGAAAGCAGGCAGGCAGGAAGAAUGAAAGACAGGUGGAAGCAUGUUUGACUGAAGUAAAGUCUAAGGAAAAGGAAUUUGUAAUUUGGAGAAAAAUUGUUAAUUUUUCUUUUUUCAUAGCCACAUCCAAUCUAUUACUAAUUCUUUUAGACUCACCUUCAAUAAAUAUGCCAAAUCCAGAACUUUUCACCAUUUUGAAACCAUCUUAAUCUCCUGUGUGGGUUAGCGCGCGCUCUCUCUCUCUCUCUCUCUCUCUCUCUCUCUCUCUCUCAGUCUUGGCCUGCGGCAACCUCCACCUCCUGGACUCAAGCGAUCCUCCCUUUAUUUCACUGUAUAGAAAAAUUAAUUCAAGAUAGAUUAAAGACUUAAAUGUAUGACCUGAAACAAUAAAAAUUCUAGAAGAAAACCUAGGAAAAACUCUUCUGAACAUUGGCCUAGGCAAAGAAUUCAUGACUAAGACCUUAAAGGCUAAUGCAACAACAACAAAAUAGACAAAUGGGACUUAAACUCAAAAGCUUCUGUACAGUAAAAGAGUCAGCAUAGCGAACAGAAAACUUGCAGAAUAGGAGAAAAUAUUUUCAAACUUUGCAUCCAGCAAAAGACUAAUGUC